GUCCAGAAACACCAGUUUAUUGGAUACGAGCAUUGUGAAGCUGCUCUCAAAGAAGGGCUCCAAUGUUGGACUGUAAUGAGCUGUCAAGAUGUUUAACAUUCAAUUUAAUACUUAACGGUUGCAUCACCAUCAUAGAAGAAUCAUAGCAAAAUAUUUGGGUAAUAAUUUGAGACAAGGUGAGGUAAAAUCACAAUAUUUAAUUAUUUUCAGAACAAAUGUUACAGUACGUCAUAUAUGCAGCGAUUUAACCCACUCACACAUUUACGUUUUUGGCUUUAAUGCGAAGCACAGCAGCUUUAAACACUUUGCAUGAGAUUUUUUUUGUGAGGUCAUCACAGAUAAAAGGCCAUUUUGGGUUGUAAGCUUUGAUUCAAAGUAAAAAAGUCUUCAUAUUAAAGUGUUGCUGCUGCACCUACAGACAUUACCCGUUAAAGGUUGAGCUGAAACCACCAUCAGAUCUGCCGCCUCAUUCUUCGAUCCUUCCACCGAGCAUCACCCUCCAAGAGAGACAAUCUACAUACUGACGUGCACACGCGUUAAAGGUCCAAAGGUCAGUAACUGGGAGUUGAUGGUUGGGAUCAAGUUGAGCUCUGCUGGCAGCUCUACCAAAGUCUAAAUGUUUUCCAUAUGAAUCCAAUUCUGCUAAUGUGGUUGUGCUUCUUCGUGUCAGUGCAGACUCGUGCGCGGGGCUCGUGCACAUGAGGGUUAGGCUGGUUUGAUGCAAGUCACAGUGAAGCAGGUGGGGGCGGGGCUUGUGUAGCCGGCCCCUCUCAAACUGUAGCCUAACUGGGCCUUGCUCAGGCCCUGAUGACUGGCGGGGGCGUGAGCCCCUCACCUGUGCUAGUCUGGGCUGGGGAGGGGGCGAGGCGGGACUUUCCUCUUUCUCCAUGAGGCGGGAGCAGCAAAUGGAUCUGUUCAUGACUGUUAGAGUGUGUGUGGUCAUGGCAGUGGCUUUUUGUUGUUUCUGCUUCAGGCUGCAGAAGAUGGGCUGUUCCUGUAGUACUUCUUCUGACGAGUGGAGCGACAGCGACAGCGACAGCAGUCUGUCAGACUUCCCAACCUACAUUAGACGGAGCAAGGUGACGGUGGAGCACAGGCAACACACCACCGCAGGAACCAAGCAUGCAUGUUUGGAUGCAGAGCUUAAAGGAGAAAGCCGAGGCAGAUGUGAUGAGGAAACCCUUGAAUCACAUCCCCAUGUGGCGCUGCCCAGACUGAGCACAGGCGGAGAGGAAAACACUCCAGAUGUGUCAAAGCCGUCCAAACUGGUCUGGUCAACACCCGUUAGGCCACCGUCUGUUGCCUUCAUGGUGACUGAGGUGUCAGGUGACCAGCAGAGGCCGACGGUAGAUUCAGAACCGCAACAUGACGAUAAGGACGGCGAAGAGGUACGUCUUGUAAUGACGGAUCCACAUCAAGCGUUCGAAACAAAGACCCACAGAUGCUACAGCAUAUGUUCCAUUGACACCGAUGACCUCGAGCAAGAGCAGAACCAGUGUGCAACAGAUGAGCCUGGUCCAUCCACUGUUCUGCAAACCACUUUAUUACCAACACCUCCUCCUAGACCAGAGGCUGGUUUAUUUCCACCACCUCCUCCUGAACCAGACACUGGUUUAUUACCAACACCUCCUCCUGAACUGUCUCUAUCGAGCGAGGUCAAUGUGCGUCUGACCACGGUAUCCUCACCAGAUAUCGGUCAAGCAACUCACCGUAGAUCCAUCAAAUCCCAGUUUGACUGGCAGGACAAUGUGGAGCUCAAAUGUCUGUGGCUUCCAGCGAAUUCACGCGUAAGAAAAAUCCCGAGCCGAGAUGAGGGCGAUGUGCGUCUGACCACGACAUCCUCACCGGAUACUGUUUCCUGCUAUCACACCGAUGUCACGACCUCGUGUCUCAAUUUCAACAAUCCAGAAAAAUUGUACAGUCAAGAAACUCGCCGUCCAUCAAACAAAUCUGAGUUUGAGUGGCAGGACAAUGCGGAGCUCCAACGUCCGUGGCUUCCAGCGAAUUCACGCGUCUGGAAAAUCCCGAGCCGAGAUGAGGGCGAUGGUCCCUCUGUCCCAAUUUGUUUUUAUAUCGCACCCGAAGGCCUGCCCCCCCCGAGAUCUGAGUGUCAGGAUGCUGGUACUCAAACUUUGCCCCCUGGUGCUGGUGGAGAUGCUUCCACUCCAUCCAAGAUUGACUCCGUCUGUCCUGAGCAGCGGGUGAUGGCUGAAGGGGGUGACAGUGGGGUAAAGACAAAGGCAACAGUGUGGUCCCAGGGCACACCCCAGGCUGGGUUCCCACAGACGGGCAGCGGUGUGGACACCCCAGGGCCAGUGUCGGAGCCCCAGCCCUCCAAGGCUCAGAAUUGUCGGCCAAUGUUAAAUCGGGGUCUGGAGCAGAGAUCAAAGACCAAGGCCGACCACCAACCAGCUCAUCCGCCAGGACAGCAAGUGGGCGCCAAACUGACGUACGCACAGGUCUUGAUGAUGCCCCCACGGAAGCGUGCCCCACCCCCAGACCUUAGCCCCCCCUACCCAGAACAAGAGCACCAACCAGCUGGGACUCGCCGUCCAAUUAAGCUGAGAUAUGCAAGGCUGUGAACGGACCGCUAUGGAUAUUUUUUUUAUAUUAGAAACUGAACAGAAUCUGCACCUCUUCCAAUGCUGCUUUAGGGGAUAUUUUUUUCUUUUAACACACCUGCAUAAUUGAUGCUCAUAAUUCUGAUUUCUUCUAUUAAAAAGCACUGAGCAAUAUGUCUGUUUGCAUCUUUUUUAUCUAAUGUCUUCGCAAAUUUAGAAAUCCAAGACCACCACGUGUCUUUUAGAUCCUAUCCCAACACACCUGUUGAAGGAUGUUUUACCAUUGAUAGGCUGUUCUAUCCUGGACCAGAUCAAUGGUUCUUUAGUGUCAG
Molecule: long non-coding RNA, 2893 nt
Organism: Takifugu rubripes (torafugu)
Lineage: Eukaryota; Metazoa; Chordata; Actinopteri; Tetraodontiformes; Tetraodontidae
Source: Ensembl